Molecule: unclassified non-coding RNA, 376 nt
Filed under: soil metagenome
Description: partial contains 5.8S ribosomal RNA, internal transcribed spacer 2, and large subunit ribosomal RNA
Rfam family: 5.8S ribosomal RNA (bases 1-120)
Source: RNAcentral
GAUGAAGAACGUAGCGAAAUGCGAUAAGUAAUGUGAAUUGCAGAAUUCAGUGAAUCAUCGAAUCUUUGAACGCAUCUUGCGCUCCUUGGUAUUCUGAGGAGCAUGUCUGUUUGAGUGUCAUUAAAUUCUCAACUACACUGACUUUGAAUUGGUGUGGCUUGGAUUUGGGGGGAAAAUUGUUGUGGGCUUUUUGUAUAGUCUGCUCCCCUGAAAUUGAUUAGCGGUACCUUUGUGGAACUGUCUACAGGUGUGAUAAUUAUCUACAUCUUAGACAUCUGCUGGAAUGCUGCUCUCUAAACCUUACUUGUAUUGACAAUCUUGACCUCAAAUCAGGUAGGACUACCCGCUGAACUUAAGCAUAUCAAUAAGCGGAGGA